AUUGAACGCUGGCGGCACGCUUUACACAUGCAAGUCGAACGGCAGCGCGGGCUUCGGCCUGGCGGCGAGUGGCGAACGGGUGAGUAAUUCAUCGGAACGUGCCCAGUAGUGGGGGAUAGCUCGGCGAAAGCCGGAUUAAUACCGCAUACGACCUGAGGGUGAAAGCGGGGGAUCUUCGGACCUCGCGCUAUUGGAGCGGCCGAUGGCGGAUUAGCUAGUUGGUGGGGUAAAGGCCUACCAAGGCGACGAUCUGUAGCUGGUCUGAGAGGACGACCAGCCACACUGGAACUGAGACACGGCCCAGACUCCUACGGGAGGCAGCAGUGGGGAAUUUUGGACAAUGGGCGAAAGCCUGAUCCAGCAAUGCCGCGUGUGUGAUGAAGGCCUUCGGGUUGUAAAGCACUUUUGGCGGGAACGAAAAGGACUGUGCCAAUACCACGGUUCGAUGACGGUACCCGCAGAAUAAGCACCGGCUAACUACGUG
RNAcentral lists this ribosomal RNA (484 nucleotides) under uncultured bacterium. RNAcentral describes it as "partial 16S ribosomal RNA". It matches the Rfam family "Bacterial small subunit ribosomal RNA", at positions 29 to 507 of the family's 1533-position model. The record is from RNAcentral.